RNAcentral lists this long non-coding RNA (6082 nucleotides) under Canis lupus familiaris (dog). RNAcentral's name for it is "lncRNA (ENSCAFG00845021437.1)". Lineage: Eukaryota; Metazoa; Chordata; Mammalia; Carnivora; Canidae. The record is from RNAcentral.
UUUUUUUUUUUUUUUUUUUGUAAACCCCACCCUCAACAUGGAACUUGAACUCACGACCCCGAGAUCAAGAGUUGCAUGUUUUACCGACUGAGCCAGCCAGGCAUCCCAGCCAUGGAAAGUGUUUGUAGGCCAAUUUCCUAUAAGAUUUUCAGUUUUUAGAAAAUUAGCAAACAAAACCAGAAUCUGUCAUCUUAGUACCUCAAAGGCUAGUUUCUGGCUACUUUCUUCACUAAAAAAUAAAAAGCAUAUAUACACAUACGUAUGUGUGUAUGAGAGAGAGGCAGAGGGAGAAGCAGGCUCCCUUGGGCAUUCUACCUCGGUCCUAGGAUCACACCCUGAGCUGAAGGCAGAUUGUCAACCUCUGAGCCAUCCAGGCGUCCCUGAAGUACUCUUUUUAAGGAGGGUUUUUCUGAGGGAGUUAGUAAAUACUGUGGGUUUUUUUAUGGUUUUAGGUAAAUGCCAAUAAUACCUGGUAUUCUUUUGGCAGGCACAUGGGGACAUAUAUUGCUAUAUUAUUUCUGGUAGCAUAUGGAAAAAAACCAAGGAGCUGGUUUGGACAUUCAAUUAUUCUUUUACUGAGUACCUACUCAGGCAGGAUCGUGUUAAGUACUGUGAAAAAUGAAAGAUGGAUAAAAUUAAUAAUGUGUAAAGAAACUCAAAAAAUAUUUACAAUAAGAUCCCAGAGAGAUUGAGGGAUGAGUGAGCAAACUCUGAAUAUACACUAAAAUGCUAACCAAGAGGCUGGGAGUGGGGAGGGGUGGGGGUAGGAGUGAGGAUUAAGGGCUACUCUCUCCCACCUCCUUAUUGGGGGCCGGUGGUGGGGAGGUUAAGUUUCUGCAUUCUGCAUAACAAACAUGCAUUAUUUUUGGCUUAAGGAAAAAAGUUAUUUUCAAUUUUAAAAAUUGACCAAGAUAUGCUGAGUGAGUUCUUCAGAGAGCCAGGUAGGCUGUGCAUAGGUGUCCUUAGUGGCUUGAAUCUUCUCCAAAGCUGUGGCUUCCAGGAAGCCCUGGCUGGCUGAGAGCAUGAACAGAGAGGGUAUUGUACCUACAUUCUUGGACAUCAAGUGCUCUGUACUAAUACUCAUGGUCACAUUACUCAUUAUACCUGUCCAGGCUAAAUAGGGGCCAAACUGCUGUCAUUGGCACAUCAUACAACAACAGGGACACACUCAUUGGUUACCCAAGGAAGAGAUAAAUGAGAUUCAAAACCAUUUUUAAAAUCUUUUUUUAGCUUGGAAAGUGUAAAUGAUGAUUUUUUUUUGAGAGGUCAGCUGUGUUAAAUCUCAUAGAAGCAUUUCAGUUUAAUGAGGGCAACUCUGUCCAUUAUAUACAGGGAAAAAACAAAGUUCUGCAACAACGGGAGAGUUUUAAGCAUCCUCUAGGUUAUCUUGCUCUUGAACUUUGACAUUAUAGUAUUAUUAGAGAAAUUUUGAAAAAUGAAACCCGGUCUAUGUUUUGCUGUCCUUGGUUAAAAUCAUUUACUUGUAGUGCUCCUGGAUUUCCUCAGUCUAUCUGUUACCUGAAUUCAGCAAGAGGAGCCAGCAUUUGGGAAGUAUUUGAGAACAGAGGUACAGCAGUUGCAUCAUAGAGCAUCCUAAUUGACAUACCAUCCCAAAAUAAGAUAAUUGAAACAAAUUGCCAUUUUUAAAUAAAAGAUUUUCAUGUUCAUGAAAAGUGUUUAAAUCCUCAUAAGAAUUCUUGCAUUUUAUUGUUAUCCUUUAUCUUUAAUUUUUAUUUAUUUAUUAGAGAGAGAGGGAGGGUGCACAAAAGGGGCAGGGACAGAGGGAGAGAGAGAUUAAGAAUCUCAAGUAGGCUCCAUGACGACGCCAAUCCCGAUGUGUGGCUAGAUCUCACAACCCUAAGAACAUGACCUGAGCCAAAAUCAAGAGUUGUACACCUAACGGACUGAGCCACCCAGGCCCCCGUCUUUAUCCUAAAUUUUAAAACAAAGCCUUGAUUUUGAAUUAGAUAUUUCAGAGAUAGUAAUCAUAAAAAAUAACCCAAUUAGACUAUUCACUUUGGGAAAUUCUUCAUAAGGAAAACAAUGCUUAGAAUCUAUUCUGUGGGUGCCGUUUGCCUAAGGGCUGGUGAGUGUAGACAAAGGCUAAUGAAUAAUGAUUUUUUUAUGCCUCUGGCAUGGAAACAGUCAUCAGGCCAGAAAUAAGGACUUUUAAAAAUAUGUUCCCAGGAUGAAAAGUCAACAGCCUUUUAUGAAUUUGUCCUUUGGGGUGGCUGAUAUCUCCCUUAGGUACAACCUAUACAAUCAGAUGCUGGCUGAUUCAUGUAUUGGGAAUCUUUAUUUGCUUGCUCAAAUGAGUGGUUUUAGUGGCAAAUGACUGAUGAUGAUAUAAAGUACUAAGAACCAACAUGAUUUAGGAAAAGCCAAGUGUUAAAAGGUUCUAAACCUGUUAGACCACCAUAGUAAUUCCAAUCUCAUGAGACCAUGAACCAACCACUUGAUCAUCAUCUAAUUCAUAAACAAAACAAAACAACCUAAUGUGGACCAAAUUGCUUUCUGAUGUUUGAAUGAAGUUACUUUUAUUUAUUCAGCGUGUGGGGAAUUAAAUGUGUAUCUGAAGAGGAAAUGUUGCUAUAGUAGAAAUCUGCCAUUGGAGUCUUAAAAAUGUCAGUGGAACUGUUUUCAACUAUUUAUCAAGUGUACUAAUGCUUUUUGUAAACACUUGUAAUUUCUGUUGUGUAGGUGAGCAAACACUGCAGCCGGUUCCGUUAUCAAGGCAAAGCACAGCACUGCAUUUGACUCAACUCCAGAAAAUACUGUGCUUUCUUCAUAGAACUGGUUGGAUUAGUCAUACAACAUCAAGAAACAGGUUCACGGUCAAUCAUAUUAUCUGCCUGCCCCAUACAGAAAGCACUGAAGUUUCAAGUUUCCACAGAACACUUUGUGGUGUUCAGAGAACAGUUGAAUGGCAUUUCUAGUUUGAUUCAAGGCAGCUGGUAGUACAGCCUACUUUAGGGAAGAAACAGGCUUCUGAUAUACAACAUACACAGAAACUUUGCCUUAUAGAUUCUGCACAAUGUGUCCAGUUAAAUUCAUUAAAUAGCUCUACAAAAGUAUGGAAUAAAGACUUAGAAAUGCUUAAAAAGACAUAAUUUGAGGACCCAGAUAAGUGAAGAGAAGAAGCAGAAUGGAUUGCAGGCACAGAAGGAAGGCUGUUUCAGUGCCACGUGAUAAAUACAGCUCAUCAAUUCUGCAUCCUAGUAUGCGUGUGUGAAAAGGCCUGUUUCCUAGAGGAAAGAGGAGAUUCAUAUCCUGUCUCCCUGGAGUGUUUUCCUCAGGAUGUCAGGACAGUGAUUGGGAGACUACUUGAGGGGACCAAUAGGGAGAUGGAACAAUUUAGAAGAAAGAAUGGAUAUCCUACUAUUGACAGGAAGUGCCCAGGAAGUGAGGUAGGCUGAAUUUAGAAUGAAUGGGCUGAUGGCCUAAGGAAUUUAGAGUCAAGAGGCAGAACAAAGGAUGCUGUCUGUCAGGCCAGUCCCUAGGACAGGGAGGGACAUCCUUCCACAGCGUGGGAUUGGUGAGUCUUCUGAGAAUUGAACGAUUCUCACGGUGGGCAAAACUCUUUGAGGGUGAGUUUUCCUAUCUGAGAAAGGCAGAGCUAAAACUCAGAGCUCUAAUUUAGGAGACUGUGGAAUGAUUUCAGUAGGAGGAAGUGGUGGGAAAAGGGGAGGGGCCAUGAGCCAAAGACGGAUGACCAUCUGCCAGGUGCUGUCCCAGUGGCAUUCAUCUUCUCUGGCAGUGUGACAAGAAAGACUGAAUCCAAAGCAUGGAUGUGAUGUCCCUUCUCCUCCCACCUGGAACACAAUGAAAAGUUUUCCUCAUUUUCUGUGAGCCAAGGUAGAGUCUGGUCAGGAAUGGACUAUACUGGGUGAGUCAGUGUUGUUUUUUCCUUCAGUGGUUGGAAUUAGCUUAGGAGAUGGGUGCCUCAUAUGGUGGGAAACAUAAUUAUCCUGCCUCUGUUCUUCCAAUGGGUAGUGAGUAGCUAGCCAGUAGACUUGGGUUGCAUCUUCUCCAUUGGUUCUCCUUCUUCCUGUUUCACAGCUCUCUCUCCUGGGUACUUUUGGUCACACUACAGAUGCACCUUGGGGCAUUUGCUCUGAUGAGAGGUUUCCUAGGUAAUUUUUACUUUAAACAGAAUGCAGUAUACAUUUCUCUAUGCUUGGGCCCUUGUUGCCCAUAUUCCCGCAGUGCCACACAUCAGUGGCACAGGCCUGGUUUUGACAGUGAUCUUCAAGUACCCAGUGAAGAACCAUCUCUGCAAGAAUGGUGGAAUGGCAGGACCCAUGAUGAGUAUGAAGGCUGAGGGCUCCAGAGCAGGAGCAUCACGGUGGUUGCUGACAAUGAGAAGGGAGACAUACUCUUGGUCUUUUUGUGUUUCCCAAGUCACACUCUUAGGAUGGUUAGGAAAAUGUACAAUUAAGAAGCAGAGUUUUUAAGUUCUUGAAACAGGUGGGUUAUCAUCUUUUCUGGAACUUUCUCAUUCUUUUCAAUGUAAAAGUUGCUGUUUUCUACAUAGGAAUGCAACUGUGGGAGGAAAAAGUGCAGAAAUCUGGUACUUCCUGCCCCUUUCCCCCAAAGAUACGGAAGGGCAUCCGAAAUUGCUGAAUGUUUUUCUUAGACAUCAAAGAACAGAGGAAUGUUGAGAGGGGACUGGCAGCAAAGGGGCUGAUGAAGGUAUAAUGGCCUGAAUAAUGUGUCCUCUCACCAAGUUGAUAUGUUGAAAUUUUAACCCCCAAUGUAAUGAUUUUAGGAGGUGAGACCUCUGGGAGGUGAUUAGGUCACGAAGAUGGUGCCCUCGUGGAUAGGAUUGGUACCCAUCUAAGAAAAGACAAAAGAGUUUGCCCUGGCUCUGGUUUUUGCCACUUGAGGACAUGAUGGGAAGUUGGCAGUCCUCCACCUGGAAGAAGGCUCUCACUAGAAGUCAACCAUGCAGGCAUCCAGAGCUUGGACUUCCAACCUCUAGAACCGUUGGAAAUAUAUUUCUUUUGUCCAUAAGCUACUCAAUCUAUGGUAUUUUGUUAUAGCAGCCCACACUGACUAAGACAAGAGGUGAUAAUUUUUUUUUAAUAGUAACAAGGUAUGGGUAUAACUUCUUAGCAGAAUGACAGAAGUAAUCAUUGAAUUUGAUUUAAUAAUCAGUGAGUAAACUUCUUGUCACUCUAGCUAGUAAAAUAAAGUUACCUACUAGAGAAUGAGCCAAAGAGGUAGUGGUGAAAUAUAUUAGAAUUUUUUUUUUUAAAGCACACUGAAAACAUUCAGAUUUUUUCAAAAUGGCAUCCAGGAAUGUUAGGUGAACUCUUACCAUUUCUGGGGAGAUUACUUCUCAUGGCUGCACGACAUCUUGUCACUAUUAGUAGAUCUAUAGAAGACCUCAGACUUUGUGUUCUUUUGCCAGGGCCAUUUUUCAGGGUUGAUUAUGUACUGGUAACUUUAAGAAACAGGAUAACAGCUCUUCCAGUCCCCACAUUCCAUCCCCAGCCCAGUCAAAGAACAGACUUGCUUACUGCUUGCUACAAAAUUAGUUGGUUCCCCAAGCUCAGUGCUCCUCAACUGUAAAGCAAGACAUUGCAUGUGCAGGGCUCCUCUAGGCCCAUCUUUGUUAUCCCCAUUGGCACUUGAGAGCAAAGGAAACCAACGCAGAUAUGCAAAUGUUUGGGCUGCUUGUUGUGUCAUGAGUAAUAAAGUCCCUUGUCUCUGACUAAAGAGCCUUAAGUGUUUUGCCGUAAAAUAAUAAGUGGGUAAUUUAUUAGGUUGUAGUUAAGGUAAAAUCAAACCCCAGAUCCAACAUAUAUAAUUUUAUCCAUACAUAUUUAAGUAUACAUUUCUAAAAGAUAAGAACUCUCUAAAAAAGAGAUAAGGUCUAGAGAUCUGCUAUAUAACAUUAUACCCAUUGUUUUGUUUUGUUUUAAGAUUUUAUCUAUUUGAGAGAGAGAACAAGCAGGGGGAGACACAGAAGGAGAGGGAGAAGCAGACUCCCUGCUCAGCAGGGGGCAGGACAUGGGCCUUAAUUCCAGGAUUCUGAGAUGACAACCUGAGCCAAAGGCAGACACUUAACCAACUGAGC